Mesocricetus auratus (golden hamster) is the source of this 92-nucleotide small nuclear RNA. Lineage: Eukaryota; Metazoa; Chordata; Mammalia; Rodentia; Cricetidae. The record is from Ensembl.
GUGUUCAAUUGAGCAGCACAUUUACUAAAAACUGAUUAGCUUGGCCCCUGCACAAGGAUGACACAAAAAUUCAUGAAGCUUUGCAUAUCUUU